Molecule: small RNA, 598 nt
Filed under: Pongo abelii (Sumatran orangutan)
Lineage: Eukaryota; Metazoa; Chordata; Mammalia; Primates; Hominidae
Description: retained intron
Source: RNAcentral
UUUUAAUAGUAUGGAACCACCCCUUUAGUUUGGGCUGCACGAAAGGGUCAUUUGGAAUGUGUGAAACAUUUAUUGGCCAUGGGAGCUGAUGUGGAUCAAGAAGGAGCUAAUUCAAUGACUGCACUUAUUGUGGCAGUGAAAGGAGGUUACACACAGUCAGUAAAAGAAAUUUUGAAGAGGAAUCCAAAUGUAAACUUAACAGAUAAAGACGGAAAUACAGCUUUGAUGAUUGCAUCAAAGGAGGGACAUACGGAGAUUGUGCAGGAUCUGCUCGAUGCUGGAACAUAUGUGAACAUACCUGACAGGAGUGGGGAUACUGUGUUGAUUGGCGCUGUCAGAGGUGGUCAUGUUGAAAUUGUUCGAGCGCUUCUCCAAAAAUAUGCUGAUAUAGACAUUAGAGGACAGGUAUGUGUGAUUACAGUGCAGUUGCUAUCUUAGAGUAUAAUUGGAUGUAAAUGUUGACUGAUCAUAAUGUUAUUCUUCCCACUUUCCUAUGGAGAUAAACUUGUAAACCCUAGUACAUUUAACAGAUGUAUAUUAUUACUAAGUUUCACUGCCUUUAUUGUAAAAUUUCUGUAUUAAUGUCGAGUUAAAUGUA